GCGUAUAAUGCAAGUCGAACGCUUCUUUCCUCCCGAGUGCUUGCACUCAAUUGGAAAGAGGAGUGGCGGACGGGUGAGUAACACGUGGGUAACCUACCCAUCAGAGGGGGAUAACACUUGGAAACAGGUGCUAAUACCGCAUAACAGUUUAUGCCGCAUGGCAUAAGAGUGAAAGGCGCUUUCGGGUGUCGCUGAUGGAUGGACCCGCGGUGCAUUAGCUAGUUGGUGAGGUAACGGCUCACCAAGGCCACGAUGCAUAGCCGACCUGAGAGGGUGAUCGGCCACACUGGGACUGAGACACGGCCCAGACUCCUACGGGAGGCAGCAGUAGGGAAUCUUCGGCAAUGGACGAAAGUCUGACCGAGCAACGCCGCGUGAGUGAAGAAGGUUUUCGGAUCGUAAAACUCUGUUGUUAGAGAAGAACAAGGACGUUAGUAACUGAACGUCCCCUGACGGUAUCUAACCAGAAAGCCACGGCUAACUACGUGCCAGCAGCCGCGGUAAUACGUAGGUGGCAAGCGUUGUCCGGAUUUAUUGGGCGUAAAGCGAGCGCAGGCGGUUUCUUAAGUCUGAUGUGAAAGCCCCCGGCUCAACCGGGGAGGGUCAUUGGAAACUGGGAGACUUGAGUGCAGAAGAGGAGAGUGGAAUUCCAUGUGUAGCGGUGAAAUGCGUAGAUAUAUGGAGGAACACCAGUGGCGAAGGCGGCUCUCUGGUCUGUAACUGACGCUGAGGCUCGAAAGCGUGGGGAGCAAACAGGAUUAGAUACCCUGGUAGUCCACGCCGUAAACGAUGAGUGCUAAGUGUUGGAGGGUUUCCGCCCUUCAGUGCUGCAGCAAACGCAUUAAGCACUCCGCCUGGGGAGUACGACCGCAAGGUUGAACUCAAAGGAAUUGACGGGGGCCCGCACAAGCGGUGGAGCAUG
This 922-nucleotide ribosomal RNA is filed under the name Enterococcus faecalis. Its description in RNAcentral is "bacterial SSU rRNA". It matches the Rfam family "Bacterial small subunit ribosomal RNA", at positions 46 to 941 of the family's 1533-position model. The record is from RNAcentral. Lineage: Bacteria; Bacillati; Bacillota; Bacilli; Lactobacillales; Enterococcaceae.